Non-coding RNA from Anas platyrhynchos (mallard), 3416 nucleotides. The record is from RefSeq and is a predicted model, not a curated record. NCBI's taxonomy places the organism in Eukaryota, Metazoa, Chordata, Aves, Anseriformes, Anatidae.
CUUUUAGACACCAGCGUCCAGCCAUCCUCAGACAGCAACGGCAUGUUCUACACCUGUCCUUAAUUGCGAAACAAUAGAAAAUUAGAUAAGAAAGGAUAUCCAACGUUCCUGGAGAAGCAUAAUUAAACUGUGCAAAGAGAAGGAUGUCGGCAAGCUAGGAGAAAUCCCAGUGUCAGACUUCCUAGAUAUAGCAGAGAAGUUCCACUGGGGUUUAAGUAAAGAGGAAAUUAACCAAAUAACAACAAAAUAUGAUUUCAAGAAAAAUGGAAAAUUUGCAUACUGUGACUUCCUUCAGAGUUGUAUCUUGUUGUUAAAACCACAGAAAAGCUCACUGCUACAAAGGGUGAUUAUACAGAAGCCACAAAAACCGAUGAGUCCUGGACCACAAACCAUGUCAUUUUGCAGUCCAAUUAUGAGAAUUCAGCCCCAGAUCUUGCACUGCUGGAGACCAAUGAAGCGAACUUUUAAAUCCUAUGAUGAAAGUCGUACUGGACUGUUAAAUAUUGCAGAUUUCAGACAAGUUCUUCAUGAGUACAAAAUCAACCUAAGUGAAGAGGAGUUAUUUAAUAUUUUGGAAUAUUAUGAUAAAGCCCUUUCUUCAAAAAUAGCAUAUAAAGAUUUUCUCCGGGCGUUCUUACAGUAGGAUUUGGUCAAGUGCAAGAAACUGUAGAUACAGAUAGUGAUGGAUUUAUAAUUUCAAAUUUCAAACUAAUAAAUUGAGUAUAGCUAUUUAUUUAUUUAUUUAUUGUAACUAUUCAUUAGAGAGCUCAAAAUACUUUAAAAUUCUGACAGAGUGGUCCUGUGUUGUGGAUUAAAUCUACAUAGUGAAGGAAUUAAUUCUGCAUAAUCCAUUUAUCAAAAAAGAAAGAGGCAACAAUUAACAUUGUCAAAAUAACACUUCCUAAAGACAUCUCCAAAAGCGACUCAUUUAAGAAAAUUCUGUAUUUUUAAUUUUACACAUUUUAUUAAUGACAUACUCUAAUUUCAGUAAAAAGGUUUACAAGGCAUCCUAUUCAAUUUCCUCAACUGUAAUUUUCCAAACAUGUUACUUUUAAUAUAUUAGCCUUCAUUACUCAGAGUCAUCCUAUUUCUCAGUGCAUCUUUUCUGUUUACUUACAGUGAUGUAUUUGUAUUUUCAAUAUGGAAUGACUAUGAAAUCUGAGAUGAUGCCAGCGGUGUGACAAAACCACACCUUUCUGUUUUAAAAACUGUUCUACAUCCUUCAGCAGUUUAGGAAGGAACCUACUUUACCAAUGAACAUUGACUUCUUAACAGCAGAUAGAUUCCCAGUGUUAGACAUGAGGUUAUUUUUUUUAAGGAUUAUAUAUAUAUAUAAAUUUAUAUAUAUACAAAUUAAAUAGUAAACUGCAAGUAAGCCCUCUGGUUAGAUUUUCCAGUUCUAGAAAGUUCUGUAUGUGUAUCUUGUCAGAUACUUAGAUCUUGGGAAGGAAAUUAAAAGAUAAUCGUUUUGUCCAUGGAACUUCUGUGAUAAUUAAAGGAUGUAUGAUCAUCUGAGCUUGCUUACUGGGAUUAUAUCAAUAACUAAAUGCUUACCUGCUCUGAAGAAUUCUUAGAUAAAUAUGUCUCUGUUGGGUUCCUGAAUUAGUUUUCACUGGUACACUGAAGAGCUCUGUCCUCGUCACCUGUACGUAUUUUGUAUCUUUCUUUCUCCUAAGUAAAAUGUAAAAAUAAGUUUAAAAAAAAUAAUAAUAAAAGAGAGAGCAAGUCAUGUGUGUGAAGUCUCUGGAAUGAGACUGGAGAGAGGAACAUAAUCCUGAUUUUCUUAUUAUUUCUAGUGAAUAUAUGAACCAUUGCCACAAAUCUGAAAGAUUCACAGUGUAGACCAACUUAAUGCCUCUUUUUCAGGGGAAAUGUUUCAUCAUAUUUGGAGAUUUUCAGGAGAUUUACAGAAAAUUUUGUUUAAAAAGUACUUGGGGAUGUUUCAAAUUGGACCUGGAGAUGUGUAAUGUAGAUAUUCUAUAUAGUUUCUCAUAUAGAUUCUAGGAUUUCUGUAAUUUCUAAUUUACUAUAAAAUAAAUACAUUUGGAAUUGGAUGUAUUUGAAAUAGUAACAAAAAGAACAUUUGCUUUUUCAAAAAAAAAAUUCCAUCAGUUUUUCCAAAAUUGAUGGCUAUCUGUAAAUCUCUGAAGUUAAUGCUUAGAUACUGGAUUAAGGGAGGGGACUGUGACUAGAGUUAUUUAAGGAUGUUCUCCCAAUACAAAAAUUCCUAGUUCCAUUACUAGAAAACAGUACAUUUUAAGAAUACAACACCUAUGUCAGCAAGUGACUGAAAGGGUCUCGGUGCAGUUGCUGGAACCAGUAGGCACCUGUGGCAUAAGUGUUCAUACUGGGCCUCUCUGGGAGGUCCUGUGUUGGCAUCAGCCAGCCAUAUAUGGAAGUCCCCCAUGCCCAAGGGCAUCUCAGGCUACAGCAGGUAAUGUGUUUCAGCAACUGUGCUGAACCCAAAUGGGGUUCAGCUUAGUCCCACUGAAGAACCAGUUAGUCUAUUAAAAAAAAAAAAUAAAUUAUUAUUGUACCUUCCAAGAAUCUGCAAACUGCUCUCUUCCUUACUGGCAACUUCUUCUCCUGACCCUAAUCAGGUACAACACGUCUGAUCUAAUUUCUGUUAUUAUUUCAUACAGUUUUUGCACAUAAUUAAUUUUUCAUACUCAUUAAAGAAUUAAUUGCUAUUUGGAACACCUAAAAUUGUAACACAAAUACUACAAUAAUUAUUUUUAAAUAGUGGAUUUCACUGAACAGAUCUAACCACUGUGAAAAAAAAGUAAAUAAAUGAUUGUUAGGUGGUUGUGUUUAUGUGUGUGUGUGGUAUUUGGUGGUUUUGUUGUUGUUGUUGUUUGUUUGUUUGUUUGUUUGUUUGUUUCCAAAUACUCCCAUGAAGCCAGGGAUAGAAGAAUGGGAGCUUGUUUAAUCACAUUAAAAUAGAUUUUGCUGAGUGUCUUUGCUUACUACUGUGCAGAUUAACCGAAACAAUGAGCCUCAGGGCCCCUCACAGAGGAUGUUUCCUGACACAAAUGGGGAACCUGUCUCAAAAACCAGCUGAGACCGACCUUCUUGUUUGGACAAGAGCCAAGGAGCAGCUAGGUCUGUACAAAGGCAGGGGGUCAAUGGCAGGGGGUGAUGAAGAAGAGUUAACAACCUUCAUCCCCACAACCCUCUCCCCCGCCCCCCCCGAUGAUCAUGACCAGAAGGCACUGCGCAAGUGCAGACAGAAGGAGUUUAUGGAAAUGACUUCUUGGAGCUAAUUUCAACACGAAGCGGGGAUAGGUCAUGCAUAUGUACCGGCAUAUUGGGAAACUUCAUGCAUAUGUAGCUCUUUACUGCAUAUAACCAAAGCAAGUUGCCAUGUUAGGGCAGGCAUGCCUUUGGGAGCUAUCCUGCAUGUGCCCGGUGAAGAA